AAGUUAGGUUUUUAGCUUUUUACUACAAUGAAAUUGAAAAUGAAGUCUUUAAAAAUCUAUUGAAGUAAAAUUUAGAAUUAUUAUAAUUUUGAAAGAAGUUGAAUCAUGAUGAAGUAUACAUAAAGAGCGACAAAGGGAAGUAACGGCCUAACGGGGGUACUCUUUUUCCAUUGGAUGGAUUGGAAAGCCUGUUAUACGCUUGGUAGCAAAGGCACGCCCCAAGCCCAAGGUGAAAAGGCACAAUAUAUUCAAAUUCAAUUAUGUUUUGUUCUAGUUUUUUGUAUCAUCUAUAAUAAUAUCAUAUAUCAUAAUGGCUAAAGUAAUGCUGAUGGCAAACUGCUUAGAAAUGCACAGAUUACGCAAUUCACUAAGCGUUUUGUAAUAUUAUAUUUUAGUUUUUACUUUCUAGUGCAAGAAUCUUCCCUGGUUAAAAUAAGAAAUGAAUUAAGCUCUUAUAACUAAACUGUUAUUUAUUAACUAUAACAAUAAAGUUACACUCAUCCCUUGAAAUCGUCAAAUUCUUUAUUGAUAUUGAAUUCGAACGACAAACCUUUUAAGGAACACUGUACGUCAAAAGCGAAUAUAAGCAUGAUAAUUGAGAAAUUUAA
Molecule: long non-coding RNA, 608 nt
Organism: Daphnia pulicaria
Lineage: Eukaryota; Metazoa; Arthropoda; Branchiopoda; Diplostraca; Daphniidae
Exons: 3
Source: RefSeq, a predicted model, not a curated record